Molecule: long non-coding RNA, 490 nt
Organism: Hibiscus syriacus
Lineage: Eukaryota; Viridiplantae; Streptophyta; Magnoliopsida; Malvales; Malvaceae
Exons: 3
Source: RefSeq, a predicted model, not a curated record
UCUCAAGACUUACUGUGCGCAGUUUCUUUCUUUCCUCUCUUCCACACACUCUGCUCACUCUCAUGGCCAUCACUCAAGGUAAAUAAAUCCCGACCAACGGCCAUCACUCACUCCAACGACCUUUGUCCCCUCUCGUGCUAUGCUUAAAAUCUUCAACAAUGGUGUAGUGCUCGAAAUAUUACGUCAAAUGCUCUCGUUCUCACAAUUGGCCGAAAACCCCAAAAGUUUCAAAGCCGACGCUGACCACCGUAAACCGGUGGCCAUUUUCAUUCUAAUUUCCACCUAGCACGACCGAAAGAUUAGCUCCAACAGUGGCGAUAGCUUGAGAUAUUGGCGUGAUUGGCUGCUGCUCACACAUGGAUGGGAACAACUCUUGUGCUUAAAUUGAUUUACUUGUAAUUAUUUUGGGGCUGUUGGAUUUUUAUUGGGCUUGCAUUGGGCUCCGAGAUUGCUUUUGUUGUAGUGGGCUUGAGCUACAAAAUAUGUAAUU